GCCUUCUUAGCUCAGUGGUAGAGCGCGUCACUAGUAAUCCUAUUCGUUGCGAUGACGAGGUCACCUGUUCGAAACAGGUAGGAGGCA
This is a transfer RNA of Fomitopsis pinicola, 87 nucleotides long. It matches the Rfam family "tRNA". Rfam says of the family: Transfer RNA (tRNA) molecules are approximately 80 nucleotides in length. Their secondary structure includes four short double-helical elements and three loops (D, anti-codon, and T loops). Further hydrogen bonds mediate the characteristic L-shaped molecular structure. tRNAs have two regions of fundamental functional importance: the anti-codon, which is responsible for specific mRNA codon recognition, and the 3' end, to which the tRNAs corresponding amino acid is attached (by aminoacyl-tRNA synthetases). tRNAs cope with the degeneracy of the genetic code in two manners: having more than one tRNA (with a specific anti-codon) for a particular amino acid; and 'wobble' base-pairing, i.e. permitting non-standard base-pairing at the 3rd anti-codon position. The record is from Rfam. NCBI's taxonomy places the organism in Eukaryota, Fungi, Basidiomycota, Agaricomycetes, Polyporales, Fomitopsidaceae.